This 253-nucleotide unclassified non-coding RNA is filed under the name uncultured Bradymonadales bacterium. Its description in RNAcentral is "contains 16S-23S intergenic spacer region". It matches the Rfam family "Bacterial small subunit ribosomal RNA", at positions 524 to 776 of the family's 1533-position model. The record is from RNAcentral. Lineage: Bacteria; Deltaproteobacteria; Bradymonadales.
UACGGAGGGUGCAAGCGUUGUUCGGAAUCAUUGGGCGUAAAGCGUACGCAGGCGGUCUGGAAAGUCUGACGUGAAAUCCCGGGGCUCAACCCCGGAACUGCGUUGGAAACUAUCAGACUUGAGUAUGGGAGAGGUCCGUGGAAUUCCAGGUGUAGGGGUGAAAUCCGUAGAGAUCUGGAGGAACACCAGUGGCGAAAGCGACGGACUGGACCAAGACUGACGCUGAGGUACGAAAGCGUGGGGAGCAAACAGG